AAAAAAUGAAGACAGAGAAGGGUCUUCUUCAUCUUCUUCAACACACAAACAAAAACCUAGUGGAACCCUAAAAACCAAGCCGCCACCCUACUUCCAUGCCCGCCUACCACCCCUGCUAACCCUCACUGCCCCCACGUCAUCCCUCACCCCCAACGUCUGAAAAACACCCAAACCAUACUCACCAAACAAAACCAAACAAACCCCAACAGCCUGCCACCCUCGUCGCUGCUCAACCAGUCGAACAACCAGCCCCACGUCAUCAACUGCCAUCUCCAUCGUUCAGUACCACCCAUCCCACUUCGUUGCUGCCUCACGCCCAAACAUUCUCCAAUACUUCAUCAUCAUCCCCAACCAAACAACCAAAAUAGCAGCUCGUUGGAACACUAAAAGCAGCGGCGACGACCACCCUUGGGACUUCGUUUUCUUCAGUCCACCAUCUAAUCUCUUCUCUGUUACUGCUGCAACAAAGGUAAUGUUUCUACUAAUAUCAGUUUCAGCUAGAGGUUUGUUCGUUGGUUGUUUAUUUCUGUUCAAGUUCGUCGUUGUUCCGAUCCGGUUACUUGGUUUAAGUUUCAUUUAUGUCCGUAUUUUGUUUGAUAUUCUCGGAUAUGAAAUUAGUAUGUGUUUGAUUCUUUUCUUGUUAGUUGUUUAUCAUUUCUUGAUUAUUUCUUCGAUUUGUUUUUACCCGUUUGUUCUUGUAUAGUUUUAAUAUAGAAGUAUGUUAGUUUAAUCACUUGAAUCUCUUAUCUUGAUUGUAAUGUUAAUAGAUUUAAGUUGAAGUUCGAUUGAUUAUUGAGUUUAGUAAUUUGAAUCUGUUUAUUUGUUCUGUUAAGUUUAAUUUGAAUUUGAGUUUAGUGAUUUGAAUCUACUUGUUUGUUAUUGUUGAUGAAUCUGAAAGUAUGUUUCUGGUUCAAAUGUUGUUUAGUCAAAAUAACUUCAGUUGGUUCUUUGUUGUUCAUCAUAUAGUUUGAAUUUGUUGAUUGAAUUUGAUUAGGAAUUGGUUAUAGCUGCUGUAUUUUGGUUAAUUGUUUAGGUGAAUUAGUUAUAGCUGGUAAUUUGAUUUUAGUUUUUAAAUAAUUUUUGAAGUUUGAACGGAUUUUGAAUCAGGGCAGUAACAAUAGUAUUCAGGGGUGAUUUGGAAAUAAAAGAUUAGGGAAUUAGUUUAAUAUUAAUAAUCUAAAAAUGGGGUACUAAAGGGUAUUAAACUAAUAAGUAAUGGGGGACAAGACUUGUAGUGGUGGGGAACAAGACAUAAGAUGUAAAUUAAAAAGGGGUAAUAAUAAAAGGUCUUCUUUGACCAUUGAAAAUGGGGGAGACUCUGGGGUCCGUGUUGACUAUCAUCUAAUUAAGUAAAAUUAGAAAUAGCAUAGGCAAUAAUAAAAAGUUAAAAAGUUACAUAGUUAGAAGAAUAUGGGCUGAAAAGUAAAAGAGGGAAUAUAGUUAGUAAUAAUAGUUUAAAAGUAAAAGUUAAUAGUUAAAAGAAUAGAGGAAAGAGUCUUGCUUUGGAUAUAAAUAAGAGUCAUUUUGACACUUAGAGGUGGAACUGAAUUUAGAGAGAAAAAUAUAUUCAAAACUUAAGAGAACGAAAAUAGAGAAUAAGAAAAGAAUUGAUUGUUUAACACUUAGAGGUCUAUUGAAUUUGGAGAGCAUAAUUUCAGAACUUAAAAAGAAACAUAAAUAGAACUUUUGAACCUUAGGAAUUCCAGAUUUUUGAGAGCUAAAAACUGAGGAUUUAUGUUUCCUUUCACUAUUGAAAUCAGCCUUAAGUAUUAUUGUUUCAUUGUAGUUUGAAGUUUCUUUUCUUUGUGUUCGAAAAAAAAAAUCAGAAGCUACUAAUUUCUCUUGUAACUGGUUAUUUAUCUGUUAGUCUGUGCUUGUUUUCUAAUUCUACUAGAAUUCAAGUAGUGUUGCUUGGGUUUACCUUUGGUUUUCGGUUGGUUUGAAAAUUCUUGGUUUUUCCGCUUGGUUGCAAUCUCUUGGGUUUUCUGCUAUUCCCACUGUUACUGGGCUAUUCCCAUGUUGUCGAACUGUUGCUGCUAUGUGUGUGCUACUGCUGCUUCAACUCAUCUUCCUCUUCUUUGCUUUCCAAACUCCAGGUACACAAAUUGAUACACUGGUUCUUGUAGAAUGGAAAUUGAAGCAUGAAUAUGAAAUGAAGAGUUGAAGUUCUGAAUUUAUCUUAGUUAUAUUCUGAAUUUUAGUUAUAUGUGUACAUUAUUUAGCUUCCUUUUAUUAGAAUCAUGUAGUGG
This 2249-nucleotide long non-coding RNA is filed under the name Nicotiana benthamiana. RNAcentral's name for it is "long non-coding RNA (NBEN_LNC011456)". The record is from RNAcentral. Lineage: Eukaryota; Viridiplantae; Streptophyta; Magnoliopsida; Solanales; Solanaceae.